ACGGGUGAGUAACGCGUGGGAACGUACCUUUUGGUUCGGAACAACACAGGGAAACUUGUGCUAAUACCGGAUAAGCCCUUACGGGGAAAGAUUUAUCGCCGAAAGAUCGGCCCGCGUCUGAUUAGCUAGUUGGUGGGGUAAUGGCCCACCAAGGCGACGAUCAGUAGCUGGUCUGAGAGGAUGAUCAGCCACAUUGGGACUGAGACACGGCCCAAACUCCUACGGGAGGCAGCAGUGGGGAAUAUUGGACAAUGGGGGCAACCCUGAUCCAGCCAUGCCGCGUGAGUGAUGAAGGCCCUAGGGUUGUAAAGCUCUUUUGUGCGGGAAGAUAAUGACGGUACCGCAAGAAUAAGCCCCGGCUAACUUCGUGCCAGCAGCCGCGGUAAUACGAAGGGGGCUAGCGUUGCUCGGAAUCACUGGGCGUAAAGGGUGCGUAGGCGGGUCUUUAAGUCAGGGGUGAAAUCCUGGAGCUCAACUCCAGAACUGCCUUUGAUACUGAAGAUCUUGAGUUCGGGAGAGGUGAGUGGAACUGCGAGU
This 537-nucleotide ribosomal RNA is filed under the name uncultured bacterium. Its description in RNAcentral is "bacterial SSU rRNA". It matches the Rfam family "Bacterial small subunit ribosomal RNA", at positions 102 to 674 of the family's 1533-position model. The record is from RNAcentral.